AGCACCUCUGGCUGCUGUUGACCUUGUUUUUGGAGUAAAACACGGUGGAAGCUGAAUUAGUGAGGAUGACUCCUGCUCCUGUCAUCUCUAAGCUCCUCACACAUCUUUACCUGCACAUGAGGAAAAUCACUCCUGUAGAAUGCAGAUGCACAAUGAGGGACGUCUGCAGCGACUGAGAAAGAGUCUCACCACAUCCUGACAUGAGGAAAAAGACUUUAUUGAAGACUACAAUGAGAAAAACUAUCAGACAGCAGACGGCUGCAUUCAAGAAGACCAUCAAACAUCCACGUCAGCUGAUGGAGGUCCAAGAGUCUCACCAAACAACCAACCUACAGAGUGAAGACCUCCAAUCUGAUUGGACGGCCUCCUAUUCAGCCACAUGUGUGAACAAAUGCCUCUAAGCUGAUUUGUUUUCUAAAAUAAAUCUAGUUUGAGUCCUAAUCUAUGCCUGUGUGUUUGCUUCUUUACACCGCUGUUAACAGUUUAGGCUGUUAGAUUGUUCCAGAUAAGACAAGUACAAGAUUCUUCAGAGCCGUUCUACCACGAGCCUGACAGGAAGAACUCCAACAGCUACUGAAUGUUCCUGUGGUCCCCUCAAGGCUACAGGAGGAGUCCUACGAGGACGAGCCGGUCCACCUGAUGGUGGCCAGUCGCUGCGGUUUAAAGCCAACACCGACUAUGUGGACUUCUACUGGACCACACGGAGGCCUUCAAACCGGACCAACAAGUUCACCGACUCCCCGACUCGUGGGUCUGAGGACGCUGCCGAGCCUCGGCCCAGCCGGCCUCCUGUCUGUGGGUGUUUGAGUGCUGAGAGGUUUGUGGAUGCAUGUGAACGUUCUGUGUUGAAACAGCAGCUUUGGACUCAGUAACGCCGGGAAAAACCAAGAGCUCCUUUAUUUGUCACUUCCACUAAAACUGAUGAAAAUAAGUUUGCCAGGGUUCUGACUGAUGACAGAUUAUUAAAUAAUGAAAAUAAUCGUUUAAAUAUUCCUUUAAACAAUCCUUUUAGG
This is a long non-coding RNA of Amphiprion ocellaris (clown anemonefish), 1013 nucleotides long. Lineage: Eukaryota; Metazoa; Chordata; Actinopteri; Pomacentridae. The record is from Ensembl.